This 71-nucleotide transfer RNA is filed under the name Brassica oleracea (wild cabbage). RNAcentral's name for it is "tRNA-Gln". It matches the Rfam family "tRNA". Rfam says of the family: Transfer RNA (tRNA) molecules are approximately 80 nucleotides in length. Their secondary structure includes four short double-helical elements and three loops (D, anti-codon, and T loops). Further hydrogen bonds mediate the characteristic L-shaped molecular structure. tRNAs have two regions of fundamental functional importance: the anti-codon, which is responsible for specific mRNA codon recognition, and the 3' end, to which the tRNAs corresponding amino acid is attached (by aminoacyl-tRNA synthetases). tRNAs cope with the degeneracy of the genetic code in two manners: having more than one tRNA (with a specific anti-codon) for a particular amino acid; and 'wobble' base-pairing, i.e. permitting non-standard base-pairing at the 3rd anti-codon position. The record is from RNAcentral. Lineage: Eukaryota; Viridiplantae; Streptophyta; Magnoliopsida; Brassicales; Brassicaceae.
GGGGCGUAGCCAAGCGGUAAGGCAACGGGUUUUGGUCCCGCUAUUCGGAGGUUCGAAUCCUUCCGUCCCAG